GACGAACGCUGGCGGCGUGCUUAACACAUGCAAGUCGAACGGAAAGGCCCUGCUUGCAGGGUACUCGAGUGGCGAACGGGUGAGUAACACGUGGGUGAUCUGCCCUGCACUUCGGGAUAAGCCUGGGAAACUGGGUCUAAUACCGGAUAGGAGCCAUUUUUAGCGUGAUGGUUGGAAAGUUUUUUCGGUGUAUGGUGAGCUCGCGGCCUAUCAGCUUGUUGGUGGGGUAAUGGCCUACCAAGGCGGCGACGGGUAGCCGGCCUGUGAGGGUGGACGGCCACAUUGGGACUGAGAGACGGCCCAGACUCCUACGGGUGGCAGCAGUGGGGAAUAUUGCACGAUGGGCGCCAGCCUGAUGCAGCGACGCCGCGUGGGGUAUGACGGCCUUCGGGUUGUAAACUCCUUUCGCUAGGGACGAAGCUUUUUGUGACGGUACCUAGAUAAGAAGCACCGGCUAACUACGUG
Molecule: ribosomal RNA, 465 nt
Filed under: uncultured bacterium
Lineage: Bacteria
Description: partial 16S ribosomal RNA
Rfam family: Bacterial small subunit ribosomal RNA
Source: RNAcentral